UGGUUCAGUGGUAGAACUUUUGCCUUCCACGUGGCAGAGACCCAGGUUCGAUUCCUGG
This 58-nucleotide transfer RNA is filed under the name Loxodonta africana (African savanna elephant). The record is from Rfam by way of RNAcentral. Lineage: Eukaryota; Metazoa; Chordata; Mammalia; Proboscidea; Elephantidae.